Molecule: ribosomal RNA, 279 nt
Filed under: uncultured phototrophic eukaryote
Lineage: Eukaryota
Description: partial 16S ribosomal RNA
Rfam family: Bacterial small subunit ribosomal RNA
Source: RNAcentral
UGGCUGUCGUCAGCUCGUGUCGUGAGAUGUUGGGUUAAGUCCCGCAACGAGCGCAACCCUUAUUUUUAGUUGCCUUUUAUGGAACUCUAGAAAGACUGCUGGUUAUAAACCGGAGGAAGGCGGGGAUGACGUCAAGUCAGCAUGCCCCUUACACCCUGGGCUACACACGUGCUACAUUGGGCGAGACAAUGAGAUGCAACUCUGCGAAGAUUAGCUAAUCUAUAAACUCGUUUUAAGUUCGGAUUGUAGGCUGCAACUCGCCUGCAUGAAGGUGGAAUC